Molecule: small RNA, 104 nt
Filed under: Flavobacterium limicola
Lineage: Bacteria; Pseudomonadati; Bacteroidota; Flavobacteriia; Flavobacteriales; Flavobacteriaceae
Description: Flavo-1 RNA
Rfam family: Flavo-1 RNA
Source: RNAcentral
GCGUUGCGUGAGGGAUGGCAGCGAAAAUCCCUUAUGUUUUUUAACCUGAAUUUAUUUCAGGUUCUAAAAAAACAUAAAGAUUGUAGCGAACAGCCCGACCCGAA